This is a non-coding RNA of Mus caroli (Ryukyu mouse), 1223 nucleotides long. NCBI's taxonomy places the organism in Eukaryota, Metazoa, Chordata, Mammalia, Rodentia, Muridae. The record is from RefSeq and is a predicted model, not a curated record.
CUGUCUUCUCAGGGUUGCAUUCCCUUUAUCAUGGUCCAUGGGUUACAUGCAGAGGAAAUGGCUCCACAACUUUGGCUGAGUAUUGAUGUCUUCCAACUGAGUCUCCAGCAAACUGUUGUGGUGUUACUGACUUGUGCUAGGUCACCUGAUUUAAAAGAGAUGCAUUCCUUUUCCUUCAUGAGCCAUCCAUAGAAAGUAUCACCACAUCACUGGACAAAAGUUGAUGAUAUCUGAAUGAGCUACCAGUGACCCUUUUUUGUUGUUAUUGCCUUGCCUGAGGAAAAGUGAGUUAAAAGAUGAUACCUACAGUGAUGAGGUGGAGUUAUAGAUGGUGCCAUUUCUUCUACCAGCAGCUUCACCAAAACAAUCUUCACUAUACAUGCUGAUGCCUCUUUCCUGUGUAGCAGCAGACACCACCUGCAGAUAAGAAAUGCUUAAGUGAGAAAUGCUCAUUUUGGGAUAUCAUCGCUGAAACUAUAAUUUGGGCAUGGUGACUGUUUCCCUUGCUGCCACUUGACUCAAUCUCAGAAGUUUAAUAGAUAAAAUAAUAUUGUACAAGAUGCUCAAAAUGGUGGAAGUAAUUAGUGCUCCUAUAAAUAUAUAUUGACAAUUUAAAAUAUAACAUAUUAAAAAUAAAAUGCAUAAUUAAACAAACCUGAAUGCAUACUUAUAAAAUUAAUACAUAAAAUUUGUGCUGCCUCUUUUUUGAAGACUACCCCCAUAGUUUCUCUCUGUUAAGAGAAGUGAAUACACGCUUUUAAGUAAUAAAUGUACAAGCAGAUACACAUACUGUCUGGUGGGGGGACUUCUAGUAGUAAUGCCAUAUUAUUGUGCAAAUUGCUACUUUUGUUUGAGUCUUUUUGAUGAGCUUUUGCUGCUAUGUCAUUUAUUGAAUGACAAUAUGUCUGUUUUGUAGAUGCAAUAGAAUUAAAUAUUUUAAAUAUUGCUUAUACAUUAGCAUUUAUAUAGGUGCCAAUUUUCUGCGCAAUAGACUUCCAUAUAUAUUAACAUUUAUGCAUUUAUCUCCUCUAUUAAAGUAAAUUUACCUAGAACACAAAUUAUUGAAAUUAAGUAUAUUUACACUUAAAUUUUUUAUAAUUGUCAUGAUUCUUUUAAGAAUGUGCUUGAAGAGCUUUCUUGUUAGAGUCAAUGAAUUAGAUAGCCCAAUUUUUCAAAAUACAAUUAUGGUAGAUUUUACAAAUGAUUGAGAUCCUUUCCAGUGU